AACAAACAAGGGGUGCGGAACGGAAAUGCUCGCUUGGGCCUUAGGCCCAAAUAUUCAACACAACCAAAAUGCUCACACAGGAACAAAUCUACUUCGUGCCGCUCACGAGAGUUGAGGCAAUGCUGGAGAAGAGCUUCUGCAACGCGGGACUUCUCCAUCUUAGAGGCUCUUCCAUAAUCGUCUGCUCGCAUCACUUCGGCCCGAACAAGGAGGAACGAUCCAGUCCAAUGGUGCGUUCAUCCUCACAACCUCGCGUUCACCACAUACGACUCAGUGAUUCAAGAUUUGCAUCGCUCGAUCUUGUUCGUGAUCGUGCGUGCAACCAAAGGGAAGCAAUAUUGAAAUCAAAAAAAGAGAAUUCACUGGAUUUUGCAAGUGUCGGAUCGAGCUUUUGAUUUCCGGUAUCUUCUUCUUCUCGAGAUCUCCCGCUACUGCUACAUCGCCGUCGGUUGAUUGAGUGCGGUCGUGUGAACGUCGAAGGAAGAACUUCUGAGAUUCGAAGGGUGAGCUUUCGAGGGAAAACGGAGGGUGAAGGAUUGCGUGAUGUUUUCCGAUUCCAGAGGGAAUGACGAGAAUGCGAUUAUCCGGUGAGAUUGCGAGGGAGAAGAGAACGAGAGCCCUGCGAAUCUGAGAAAAAGGAAUAAAGAAAAAAAAACCAAGUAAAUCACCGUGUUGGCUUUUUAUACGUUCUUUAUCUGUUAGAUUCGUUAGCCUCUGUUAGUUCCUCUCAAUCCAAUUCUGUUAAACGUUUCUUCACACCGUGAAUUAGUUUGUUAAACGGUAAUUAGAAAUCGGUUUGCCGCCCUUGGUUUGUGCGUUUCGUGUUUUCAAGUUAGCGGCUUAAGUAGCAGCUUUUAUGUGGCUUCUUGGAAGUAGCUUUGGAGCUUUUGGUUUUCGUGCGCUUUCGAGAACUAGUUUAGCUUCUCUACGCAGCUGCCGUUUGGCUUAGCUUUUGGCUGAUGUUUUGUUUUCAACUUCGCAGCUUUUUCCGUUGGCUUUAGAUUGAUUUGAUGUUGGUUCAUGCAGCGUUUUCUGUUUCGCCGUUCUAUUUGCUGCUGUGAGCAGCCGCUGCGUUUCGUUACCAGAUUUGUGUUUUGGCAUUGUCGGUGUUUCACUAUUGCGGUUUGUUGUCAUGGCUCGCGCAGUUGGCUACAGCAGUGUGCCGUUAAGCUUUGGUUAUUGCUGUUUUACGUUUGUCGUCAUUUGCUCAGCUUGCACUUUGCAUUUUCUCUUUGAACCAACACCGUCCUGCAGCUUUUUGCGUUUUGAUGCUGCUGUUCACAUGCUUGUUGUUCACGUCACUCACUUUUGUCCUAUGCAGAAAGUUUGGAUUAUGGAUGGGAAUUAAUGGGUUUACAAUUGGAUAUGGGCCAAAGUGUGGGUUGAACGGAUUUGGAUUUAAAUGAAAUGGGAUUGGUUUGAAAAUUUGGAUAUGAAUUGUAAUUGGAUACUUGGAUUGUGGAAUGGAUUAAUGGACAUGGGCCUUAAUACAAUGUAGAAA
Lathyrus oleraceus (garden pea) is the source of this 1501-nucleotide long non-coding RNA. RefSeq lists it as uncharacterized. The transcript is spliced from 2 exons. The record is from RefSeq and is a predicted model, not a curated record. Lineage: Eukaryota; Viridiplantae; Streptophyta; Magnoliopsida; Fabales; Fabaceae.